This 4274-nucleotide long non-coding RNA is filed under the name Nicotiana tabacum (common tobacco). RNAcentral's name for it is "long non-coding RNA (NTAB_LNC007243)". Lineage: Eukaryota; Viridiplantae; Streptophyta; Magnoliopsida; Solanales; Solanaceae. The record is from RNAcentral.
CAAGUUAUGAGCCACUAUGAUUUAAAUUUACAAAACGAAAAUGAUGAAUAAGUACAAUAUCUAUUUGAAAUUACAUAAAUAGAGUUUAAAUCCUAAAAUACCAUGAACAAGAGGUAGCUUGUAUAUGGAACGUCUUCAGUGCAAGGCUUCAUCUUUCGCAGCUACGCAACUCCAAAAUCUGCACACAAGGUGCAUAAGUGUAGUUUGAGCACAACCGACCCCAUGUACUCAGUGAAUAUCUUGACUAACCUCAGUGAACUAGUGAAGAGGUUUUUUGGUCAACAGAGACUCACUUACUAUGUACAUGUGUAGAUAAUAAGCAGGAAAAACAAGUCAAGAAAUAUAUCGAAUAAUAGUAUGAGCAUCAACUGAAGAGCUAUGGAGCAAGUUCACAGACAUGGCAAACAAGUCAUAACCUCAUAAUUGUUUUUACGAAGGAAAGAGUAAUCAUGGAGUAUGUGUGAGGAUUAUAGCCAAACAUCACUAACAUACACUAUUGCGGCAUACAACCCGAUCCCACUAUCAAUAAACAUUGUAGUGGCGUGCAACCCGAUCCCAAUAUCAAUAAAUAUUAUUGCGGCGUGCAACUCGAUUCCAAUAUUAACAAACACUGUUAUGGCGUGCAACUCGCUAACAAUAUCCAUAAAUACUGUUGCGGGGUGCAACCCGAUUCUAAUAUACAGUAAUAUCAUAUGAAACCGCAACAUCAACCAAACACGGGAUAAGUUCACAACAUAACACCAAAACAAAAGAACAUGCGGUAUUCGAAUAAGUAAUACAACUCAAACAGAGUGAGAUGAGUAGUCGAAAAUCAAAAGCUAGUCUACCGCAUAUAAUGACAAGGCUUCCACAAAGCAUAACACACAACUAAUCUAAAAGUCAUCCAAUCCAGUUAAGCAAAGAAGAGUAGAACAUGAAACUAGUAAAGAUGUUUUCUAAGUAAGAACAGGGAUCAAAUGAAAGCAUUUAAUAUGUGUAAUCAUGUAGCAAGUAGAAGCAUGUAUCAAGUAAAUGCUUUAAUAAGUGAAGGCACAAAGUAAAUAAAAGCGUAUAGUAAGUGAAGACAUGUAGGAAGUGAAAGCAUAUAGUGAGUGAAGACAUGUAGCAGGUUAAGGUAUCUAACAAGUAAAUCGCGUGUUAAUUAGAGGCAUACAAUAUCUGUGAACUAAUAACAAGUAAAGACAUGAAUUCGAAGAGGACAAGUAGCCAAGGUAAAUCAAGUAAAAGUGUAGGUGUAUCAAUACUCGACAAGGUAAGGACAUAGCUAUAAUAGUACAGGCCAAAGGGAAAACACAUAGGUAACUACAUAAGGAACUCAAACGGAAUGUAUCAUACAAGAAAAUAAACAUUAAUAUGAACCAAAGUAAAAGACAGGAAAGUGCUUAAUGAAUGAGUUAUCACAAUAGAAAUCCAACUUCCUUUAUUUUCCGCAUGGUAAUAACUAACAAAAUAAUCUCAUUUCAUACGGCAUGGCCAAUAUUAUAUCAACCGCACGGAAAUACUCAUCGUGCCAAUAUCAUAUCAACCACAUAGAAAUACCUAUCGUGCCAAACGUAUCGCAAAGGCUCCAAUCAUCAUCUCUCAAUACGGAUAAAGAAGCUCAAGUAACAUGAAAAUAACAUCUAUAGAUAUAAAGUCCUGAUGCCACGAUCAAGUUAAGUAUGAGAAGGAAUCUCGUAAACAUCACAUUAAAUCCUUUUUAAGAUGUCAUAUGUUCUAAUAAGAUUUCUAAUAUAGAUAAUUGAGUUUAGUAGCUAUAGAGUUAAGUGAAGCAUAGGUUCAGGGAUCAUCAAUUUCAACAAAGGCACAAGGAAGCAUAUACUUUCCCCCUCCUGAGCAUGGAAACCCUGGCACAUGCAUAUACGCUCAUCACAUGGUAUAUGCAUCAUCUCCGCGUAUAGCAAAAAAUAUCAAUUAGUAGGAAAAAUUCUCCCAACAAAGCUAGACAUGAUACUUACUUCAUUUCGAAAUUCAAUAAAAAUCAACCACGGCAAUUUUCAAAUAAUUCAAAACAAGCUUAAGAAACUACUCACGAAUGAAAAGGGUUGAAUUUUUAUCAUAAUUGAAAAAGUCACCUAGUUGUCAACCCCGGAUCCGCUUGGUCGAAAUCUGAGAUUUGGACCAAAAUCCGAUUAUCCAUUCACCCUCGAGCCCGGUUAUGUGAUUUGUUUCGAAAUCCAACCUCAAUUUGAGGUCUAAAUCCUAAUUUUCACAAAAAUCUACCCAAAAUCUCUAAUUUUUACCAUAAAAUUCAUAGAUUUGAUAUUAAAAAACUCAUGAAAAGUAAUGUGGAAUUGAUAGAAAAUGAAUUAGAGUUGCUUACCAAUGAAUUUGGGAAGAAAAUGUUCUUCAAAAAUCACCUCUAGGGUGUUUGGGAUUGAGAAAUGGUGUAAUAUGAGCUAAGUUUCGAUUUUUCCCUCUUUUAUCCAGCUGCAGACGUCGCAAUUGCAAACUCUUAUUCGCAAUUGCAAUGUUCGCAAACGCGAACCACUAUUCGCAAAAGCGAACAAUUGUCCAACCUACAAUGGUCGCAAAGCAGCGAACCUGCCCCCCAUUCGCAUUUGUGGUCUCACCUUCGUAUUUGCGACGGUUGCCAAGCUAAACUCUAGUCGUAUUUGCGACACGGUAUCCGCAAAAGCCGACUCCCCAAGAUCACGUUUGUGAUGCUAUCUUCACAUUUGCAAAGUCAACAACCCCUCCACAUGUUUCGCAUUUGCGAGUCCAACUUAGUAAUUGCGAAAAAGUUAUCGCAAUUGCGAGACCUGCAGACCUGAAACACUAGAAACCCGUCAUCAACAGCCCAAUAACACUCCCAACACAUCUGAAACUCACCCGAGCCCCUCGAGCUCCAAACCGAACAUUCACACAUGUGUAAUAGCAUUCUACAAACGUGCUCGCUACCUCAAAUCAUCAAAAUAGUAUUAAAUAACAAGAAUCGAUCAUCAAAACUAUAUUUUCAAUAUUAAAACUUAUUUUUAAUAUUUUUUACAUAAUCCACCGAAAUGUGCUUGGGUCACCCCGGACUCAACCAAUCGUGCGUACAAAACCAAAAAUAUCAUAUGAACCUACCGAAAUCGCCAAAAAUAUUGAUCGUAGUGAACUCUUGCCUUAUUUUAUGUAAAAUAAUAUUUUCUUCAAACUUUUACAUCAAAGCUUUCUGAAAAAAGAGACACGUACAACCCACAUAAAUCAAUAAACAUCAAAUGAAGUUACGGGAAGUCUCAAAAUACAGAAAAGGAAGUUAAUACUCAAAACGACCUGUCGAAUCGUUACAAUAUAAGUGUCCACACUAAUAUUUAAUAGCAUACACUUAUAUAUUUAACACAAUUCACACUAAGGACUUGUUUUAAAUGGUUGGAAAAAUUUAAUCAAAUACCCUGACGAGUCCACGACAGCAUACACUAUGCCCCAGAUCUAUCAUGGUGGCAUACACAAUGCCCCAAAUAUAUUACGGCAGCGAAGAAAUAAUUUAUAACGCCACAACGCCAAAGCAAGAUUCUACGUCACACCACAAAUCACUUAUUAAAUAAUUUUCAUUUUUUAACAAAAUAAUAUAUAUUUGCGGCUUGUCACAGACCACAGACUCUGUCAAGCACAUGCUCGUCCUAACACGUGGACCAACUAAUAAAACAUACUUUCAAAUUAGAUUUUGAAAAUAAAUCACCAAAGCUUAGAAUCUCACUUACCUCGCUAGCGACAAGUUUUCCAACCUCAUGACAUCUAGAACACCAACCAAACAACCUCCAAUGGCCUCAACCUGUGCAAAAUAUUGAUUAACAAUAUCAAUUAUACUAGUCGCAAUUAUUUCAAAGUUUUAGAAUAUCAAAUCAAAGUCAACUAAAAAUUCAACUAACCAAUAUGGCAAAAUUCCCGAAUUAAUUAUAUUUUCGAACUACCCAUAAGCCAUAGAGUCCAAUCUAUAAGUUUCAUUGUUGAUAUCAAUUGACUGGUUAAAUCUCAUAUUUUCUAAAUUUCAAGCUUACAACUAAAUCUCAAGUAGUGAAUAUAAAGGCGAAAUGAUACUCUAAUAUUACGAUUCAACUCAAUGUUCAUGAUAUAAUUCAUAUAUAUUAGCAGAAUAUAUAGCCGAAUAUGGAGACCAAGUAUAAAUUUUCAUACCUUAAAGUUUCAAUAGCCGAAGUUGAGAACAGAAUCCAAAUUAAAACUUCUUUAAGCUUCAGUGGUUCCAAGAGAGAUGAAAUGCUUAGCUUUUUCAUGAAAUUCUCCAAUAGUAACUGUUGCCUACAAAAUAGCUUACCCAAAUAUUGCUCUUU